AAGUCAGUCAGAAAAGUGAUGUCUCAAUGGACAGUAAGAGAAUAGAUCAGGGCGCGGUGUUAACAACAUAGAAAUCACGCAACUACCUCAAUAUUAGUUUAAUCGUUAUUUUAAUAGUGUUUAGUACGUACAUAUAUAAUAUAUGCCUACAGUCGAAAGGGUAGGCAGAGUGUAUCGAUUGCCAUUGCCCCAUUCUGGCACACUUUUUUCACUUCUUCUACCUUCAUCAAUGUACUCAUGCUUUUCCGGCGGUUUGGGUUAUUUUUGAUCUUCUCGACUUGUUAAGAAUGUCAGAUAUAUGCCAUUCAAAGGUUCGGUGCGGUUGAUCCUUACCGAAUUUUCCACCCACACUCGCUAUGUAAAAAUCUUAUCCUCUCGGUCAGUCUGAGUUAGGGUGUAGUAUAUUUGUUAAUUCGUUUACUAAUUUGUCCAAUUUGGUCUUUACUAAAUAUUGUUCAUCUGUUCUAAAAAGAUCAAUAAAAAAAAUAAAAAUGUAAAGUAAUAUGUUAGGUGUUAUUAUUAAGAAUAACAACAUACCAUUGUCCUAUCCCAUAGUAAAAUAGUUACUUACUAUUUAAGAACAAGCGCCUGCUAAAGUAACGACCGAGUGAAAUCUCCUUGGGGUAUGAAAGCACUUAUAGCAAAUUAUAGGUACCUUUUCAAUGGAAACGAACACCCUAUAGUCUUUUUUUGUAUUAGGAAAUUUAACCAUAGAAUCAUAAUAAUAUUUGGGUUCCUCUUCGGCACUAAGUACUUCCUUACCAAGUCAGCCGUCGGAUCGUUAUAUGUAGGUAUCUAGCAGAAAAUAUCAAGCUACUAAUGUCCUGUCCUAUACCUUGUCUUGAAAUAGUAUUACCGAAUUAAAAUUCGGUGUGAAGAUCGAAGAGCGUAUCAUGUCCAUCGCCACUUGUGCCAUGGAGACUGUCAAAUCAAUACAAUUCUACUAUCUAAAUGGUUUAUAGAAAAUUUAUAUUGUACUGAGGACUUGACACGAUUGAACCACUGUAAAAAUACUUUAGCUGUUUAAGCAUCUUCUGUAUUUCGCCUACCUGCCCACAAGCCUCCGUGGCGCAAUGGUUAGCGCGUUCGGCUGUUAACCGAAAGGUUGGUGGUUCGAGCCCACCCGGGGGCGUUCUUUUGAUAAUUUGUGAUUAUUUAUUUUGACCCUGUAAAAUUUAACACAUUAUUUAGAUUCCGACAACACUCUACCAUCAGUUUGCAAAGCAGUUCUCAUCAGAGCAGAAUAAGCUAGAAACUCUAGUAUUCCUCUUUAGAAUAGUAGUAACUGUAUUAUGUAGAUAUUCGUAUACAUUUUGUACGCAACUAGAUAGCAACCAUCAUGAGAUAAAUGGCGAACAUAAUAAAUAAAUAAAAAAAUAAUCGAUGACUCGCCUUUCAGUGUUACCAAAUUUACAUCUAAGUCUAGAUCAGGUGAACAUCAUUUUGCUACUAUCGAGCAAAGUAACAUCUCUCAUAUAUCGAUGUCAUGUUUAGAUUAAAUCGUACUACAUAAUUCAAAUGUAAUUUCGUUGCGCCAGAAUAAAAAUAAAUAUUAGCCAAAUUUCAAACUAUUUUAAAUUUUAAGUCCCCGAAAAUGUUAAUAAUCAAACCAUUAGCAUGCCAAGGAGCUCACAGUAAACUUGUCAGAACAUGCCAUUACAGCUGAAAACAUAAAGCAGUUUAAGAACCGAUUGCACAAAUACAUAGCUACAAUGAAAACCAGUAUUAAUAGCGAGAUACGGGCAUUAUUGUAAUGAUCUUAUGUUUACGCGAAUGAUAGACAUUAAAAUGAAACUAUUUUUCGGAUUUUAUCGCGGUUUUAAUAUUUUAGUUUUCUCCUGAUGUUUCGAAGUCUGUCUUCGUGGUCACGGGGGCGACUGAGGUGUUGUUCAUCCGCAAAUUCAUUUACAAUGCGCCACUUAUCGGGUAUAUAUUUAUUUAAUUUUACAAGUAUAUGGGGUGUAUUACUAACAAUAUUAAUAUAUAAUUCUGAUCGACAAUGUCAAGGGUUGAGCCCACAGGUUACGCUCGCGCACGCGUCCUCCCUUAAACACAGCCAGCUCGGCACUGCGGGAACCUAGGACGACGUCGUGGACGCAGCCCGUAGGCGCGGUGCGGUAAAGGGGCUCGCGUCCAGUUCAGUGCCGAAACAACAGUCCCGUUAUAGAGUUCACUAUAAACUCCCCCUCCAGGUCACAAUCCCGCGCCUACCUACAUUAUACAUUUAUACAACUUUUUAAAUUUUAGCUGUUGGUCCGAUCUACACAGAAUGAUCUCACACGAAACGUCGGAAGAAAACUAAAAUAUUAAAACCACGAUAAAAUCCGAAAAAUAGUUUAAUUUUAAUUAUCGGUUGUCUCAACUGCCUGCCCGAUUAUAUAUUGUUGGAUAUAAAUAUUGUUGUGAGGGUAUUUGUGAUACCUUUUGCUAUAAAAACACACAGCGUUUGACAGACCGAGGCAGUCGUCAAUCAGCAGCGAGCAGUUGUUCAUUACCAGUCCCCGCAGGGACGGCUUCUUGGCAAACCGAAGGUGAAUGGCGACACCGCGUUCCCUGAUUCCGUGUGGACUGGCCGGCUAGGGUUGGGACUCCUCCAGAGUGGAAGUACUCCAUCUGCGUAAGAAUUCGCGUGCUAAUCUACGUGUUAAUUCUAAUUAACAACAAUAUUUACAAGAUCAUUUUGUACGUAAGUUACACUUACAAUUGAAAAUAAUGUAUACUGUUGAUUAUUAUCAUAAUAAAGAUAAAAUGUUGAGAAAUUGUGCUCAAUAAAUAGAUUAUGAUAAAUUUUAUCGAUAAAAUGAUACGUAUCUAAGUGUUUAACUCUUGACAGGUUAUAAUUUACAAUUAUAGACCGGACAUCAAGUGCUCCAAAAUUUUUGCUUAUUUCUACUUAUUAGCAAUUAGUAAUAAGUUGCUGUAUUAUUUAAAAUGUUCGAGUGAUAAGACGUGUCAGUUUCCUUUGUUAAAUAACAUAUUAACAGAAAGGUAGUGCAUGUACAUGUCUAUUAAAACGUGCAAAAUCACA
RNAcentral lists this long non-coding RNA (3028 nucleotides) under Manduca sexta (tobacco hornworm). RNAcentral's name for it is "uncharacterized LOC119189171". The stretch from base 1060 to 1132 matches the Rfam family "tRNA". Lineage: Eukaryota; Metazoa; Arthropoda; Insecta; Lepidoptera; Sphingidae. The record is from RNAcentral.